GAAAAACGAAACAAAGGUCAAGGUAAAAAGAUAUUGAAAAUUCCCCAAUUUAAUGCCAUUAUUCCAAAAACUCAUUAAGAUCAUGCCUAAUUGAUACGAAAUGCCUAACCAACUGAAUUAAACAACAAAAAACACUAGAAAUACUAAAUGUGAUGAGAGUAAAAUUAAUAAUUUAUGUACUUAUCAUAUGCAUAUUAUUGUUGGCUUGUU
Molecule: unclassified non-coding RNA, 210 nt
Filed under: Hevea brasiliensis (rubber tree)
Lineage: Eukaryota; Viridiplantae; Streptophyta; Magnoliopsida; Malpighiales; Euphorbiaceae
Source: RNAcentral